ACGCUCGACACCUACUGGAGGCAGCAGUGGGGAAUAUUGCACAAUGGGGGAAACCCUGAUGCAGCGACGCCGCGUGGAGGAAGAAGGUCUUCGGAUUGUAAACUCCUGUUGUUGGGGAAAAAGAGGAUGGUACCCAACAAGGAAGUGACGGCUAACUACGUGCCGNCNCGCGGACGUAUCNGNGGCGGNGNGAGAG
Molecule: ribosomal RNA, 196 nt
Filed under: uncultured bacterium
Lineage: Bacteria
Description: partial 16S ribosomal RNA
Rfam family: Bacterial small subunit ribosomal RNA
Source: RNAcentral